UACAGAGGGUGCGAGCGUUGUCCGGAAUCACUGGGCGUAAAGGGCGCGUAGGUGGUGGCUUAAGCGUGCGGUGAAAGCUCGGGGCUCAACCCCGAGUCGGCCGUGCGAACUGGGCUCACUGGAGCAUAGUAGAGGCAGGUGGAAUUCCGGGUGUAGCGGUGGAAUGCGUAGAGAUCCGGAGGAAGACCGGUGGCGAAGGCGGUCUGCUGGGCAGUUUCUGACACUGAGGAGCGAAAGCGUGGGGAGCGAACAGG
This 254-nucleotide ribosomal RNA is filed under the name uncultured bacterium. RNAcentral's name for it is "partial 16S ribosomal RNA". It matches the Rfam family "Bacterial small subunit ribosomal RNA", at positions 524 to 776 of the family's 1533-position model. The record is from RNAcentral.